AAUCAAGUGGAGGACAAGUCUGGUGCCAGCACCCGCGGUAAUUCCAGCUCCACUAGCGUAUAUUAAAGUUGUUGCAGUUAAAAAGCUCGUAGUUGAACCUCUGUCUGGGGCUAGUUUUGGCUUUGGUCAGGCUAGUUCUAGGCAUCCGCCUACAAGACUUAGAGGGCAUUCAGUUGUUCACUAGGAGGAGUAGGCAUUUUACUUUGAAAAAGUUAGAGUGUUUAAGGCAGGCAAUCGCCCGCAUAUAUUAGCAUGGAAUAAUAGAAUAGGACACUUUUCCAUUUCGUUGGUUAUUGGAAUCGUGUAAUGAUUAAUAGGGGCAGUUGUGGGCAUUUGUAUUUAAUUGUCAGAGGUGAAAUUCUUGGAUUUAUUAAAGACAAACUAACGCGAAAGCAUUUGCCAGGGGUGUUUUCAUUAAUCAAGAACGAAAGUUAGGGGAUCAAAGACGAUCAGAUACCGUCCUAGUCUUAACUAUAAACUAUUCCGACUCAAUGUUUGACUGGCUUAUAUAACCAGUUGAGCGUUGUAUGAGAAAUCAAAGUCUUUAGGUUCUGGGGGGAGUAUGGUUGCAAAGCUGAAACUUAAAGGAAUUGACGGAAGAGCACAACCAGGAGUGGAUUCUGCGGCUUAAUUUGACUCAACACGGGGAAACUUACCAGGUUAAAACAAUAGUGGGAUUGACAGUUUGAGAGCGCUUUCUUGAUUGGUUGGGUGGUGGUGCAUGGCCGUUCUUAGUUGGUGGAGUGAUUUGUCUGCUUAAUUGCGUUAACGAACGAGACCUUAACCUGCUUACUAGACUGGCGAUCAUCAAUCGUUAGCUCUUCUUAGAGGGACUUUGGUUGUUUUAACUCCAAGGAAGUUUGAGGCAAUAACAGGUCUGUGAUGCCCUUAGAUAUCCUGGGCCGCACGCGUCAUACAAUGACUAGUUCAGAAAGUUUUCUCCUGACCCGAAAGGGGAUGGGUAAUCUUGAUAAUACUAGUCGUGUUAGGGAUCGAUCUUUGCAAUUAAAGAUCUUGAACGAGGAAUUCCUAGUAAGUGCGGUUCAUCAGACCGUACUGAUUACGUCCCUGCUCUUUGUACACACCGCCCGUCGCUCCUACCGAGUGGGUGGUCCGGUGAGAUAAUUGAACUUCGCAGGUAACUGAGAGGAAAGAUUAUCAAACCUAUCCACCU
Molecule: ribosomal RNA, 1174 nt
Filed under: metagenome
Description: SSU rRNA
Rfam family: Eukaryotic small subunit ribosomal RNA
Source: RNAcentral